GACGAACGCUGGCGGCGUGCCUAAUACAUGCAAGUCGAGCGAAGUUUUUCUGGUGCUUGCACCGGAAAAACUUAGCGGCGAACGGGUGAGUAACACGUAAAGAACCUGCCUCAUAGACCGGGACAACUAUUGGAAACGAUAGCUAAUACCGGAUAAUAGCAUUAACUGCAUGGUUGAUGUUUAAAAGUUGGUUUUGCUAACACUAUGAGAUGGCUUUGCGGUGCAUUAGCUAGUUGGUGGGGUAAAGGCCUACCAAGGCGACGAUGCAUAGCCGACCUGAGAGGGUGAUCGGCCACACUGGGACUGAGACACGGCCCAGACUCCUACGGGAGGCAGCAGUAGGGAAUCUUCCGCAAUGGGCGAAAGCCUGACGGAGCAACGCCGCGUGAGUGAAGAAGGAUUUCGGUUCGUAAAGCUCUGUUGUUAGGGAAGAAUGAUUGUGUAGUAACUAUACACAGUAGAGACGGUACCUAACCAGAAAGCCACGGCUAACUACGUG
Molecule: ribosomal RNA, 499 nt
Filed under: uncultured bacterium
Lineage: Bacteria
Description: partial 16S ribosomal RNA
Rfam family: Bacterial small subunit ribosomal RNA
Source: RNAcentral